RNAcentral lists this ribosomal RNA (500 nucleotides) under uncultured bacterium. RNAcentral describes it as "bacterial SSU rRNA". It matches the Rfam family "Bacterial small subunit ribosomal RNA", at positions 9 to 526 of the family's 1533-position model. The record is from RNAcentral.
GAGUUUGAUCCUGGCUCAGGACGAACGCUGGCGGCGUGCCUAACACAUGCAAGUCGAACGGGGAUAUUGAUUUCGGUUGAUAUCCCAGUGGCGAACGGGUGAGUAAUGCGUGAGCAACCUGCCUUUCAGAGGGGGACAACAGUUGGAAACGACUGCUAAUACCGCAUGAUAUAUUCGGAUGGCAUCGUCUGAAUAUCAAAGAUUUAUCGCUGAAAGAUGGGCUCACGUCUGAUUAGUUAGUUGGUGAGGUAACGGCUCACCAAGACUGCGAUCAGUAGCCGGACUGAGAGGUUGAACGGCCACAUUGGGACUGAGAUACGGCCCAGACUCCUACGGGAGGCAGCAGUGGGGAAUAUUGGGCAAUGGGCGAAAGCCUGACCCAGCAACGCCGCGUGAAGGAAGAAGUAUCUCGGUAUGUAAACUUCUAUCAGCAGGGAAGAUAGUGACGGUACCUGACUAAGAAGCCCCGGCUAACUACGUGCCAGCAGCCGCGGUAAUAC